CUUAUACUCCCUCCGUCCCAAAAUACUUGUCGGAAAAAUUGAACAAAAUGAAUGUAUCGAGAACUAAAAUAUGUCUAGAUACAUUCAUUUCUCCGACGAGUAUUUCUGGACGGAGGGAGUAUUUG
Triticum urartu is the source of this 125-nucleotide non-coding RNA. NCBI's taxonomy places the organism in Eukaryota, Viridiplantae, Streptophyta, Magnoliopsida, Poales, Poaceae. The record is from Rfam.